UUUCAUCCUUGCUAUUCAUCGUCACAUGAUGCACCAGCCGGGAAUCAAACCCGGGUCUGUACCGUGGCAGGGUACUAUUCUACCACUAGACCACUAGUGCUUCAAUAAGUAGGCAUAUCCAUAACGUUCUCGUAUUUUAGUCAUGCAGU
Molecule: long non-coding RNA, 149 nt
Organism: Cucurbita moschata (crookneck pumpkin)
Lineage: Eukaryota; Viridiplantae; Streptophyta; Magnoliopsida; Cucurbitales; Cucurbitaceae
Exons: 2
Source: RefSeq, a predicted model, not a curated record